Neofelis nebulosa (Clouded leopard) is the source of this 9119-nucleotide long non-coding RNA. RefSeq lists it as uncharacterized. The record is from RefSeq and is a predicted model, not a curated record. The transcript is spliced from 3 exons. NCBI's taxonomy places the organism in Eukaryota, Metazoa, Chordata, Mammalia, Carnivora, Felidae.
CUCGGGCUGAACCACUGUGCGAGGCAGGGGGAGGAAGCGGAUUCGCCCCUCCUGCGAAUAUUUAGUUAUCUUAAGCACUUAUAACGAGGGAUAAAGUGGACAUGCGAGUAUACCGCGUCCUCGUGCCCUUCCGUGUUCGGAGUGGGAGGAAAUGCGACGUGGACUUUAUGGGCCUGUUCCCCUUGCUGUGACAUGGCACCUCCCUUCCGACCGUUGACCGGGCUAUCUGGCCGCGAGGUCGCGUCCCCCAGCGGUGACUGCGAGAAUCGGCGGAGGUUUUGUCCUCAAGCUAUGCCUGAGGGUCUUUCCGGCCGCCCCGCCUUAAGAUGCCCUGGUGACAGGGAGCCAGUGGCCCUCAGCCAUGUGAAAGUAGCCAUUUUGGCUGGCCAGCGUACGAUUCUUCUCACGGCCUUAUUCAUCCGCGCCGCGCGCGCUGCUGCCGACUUGGAAUUCUGAGGCUUGCUAGUAAUUUAUUGGUUAAUGCCUCGGUGUUGAAAAUGGCCGAAAAGGAGAAUAACGAGAGUUCUGUCAUCGAUUCAAACGAUUGCCGCCCUACUUGCACCCCAGCGCUAAAGUUUCCGAAAGAGGCCCUUACCCUUUGUUGCUCUUGCAGUGGAGGCCGCGCUCCUGCCCCUUCAGCUCUGGCCUUCUCUCUGUCCAAGAAAGGAGGCCUCUCACAAGGCUGACCUUGCACUUGCGGACUUUCCUAUGUCUUUGAGGGGAAAAUAAUCGAUGUUUAGAGUGUCCUUUUCAUAUUUUUCUUGGGGGAGAAGCCCUUUUUAGCCCUUGUAUGUGAUUAACCAGAUCUCUUGAUAAGGUGAAAUGGACCUUGAUAAGGUCCGUUUCAUGAAGCUUUCACUUUAAAAUAUCCACCUGUGUUUGUCCCAGCUUUGCCCAUGAAGGGAAUUCCAGGGAGAGAAGAAAAAAGAACAAAACUUGAGCCAACAAGGAGUAGGGAGUCAGAAACGGAUUUCAUGGAGUCCCCGUUUGGAAUGAGCCCACAAGUGGAAAGGAGGGCAAGUGUCAACUUCCUCUGGUUCAGGGGCUGUGACUCAGUGCAGGUCUGACAAGGGCUGCUGUCCCGGUGGCCCCGAGUGCAUUAACAUGGGGUCUAAUGAUGUUACUCGGGGAACUGCCCGCUCCUAGUAUUAGAUGCACGUUACCCUGGGGAGAUGAAUGAGACCCCUUGGAGCAGCCUCCAGCUGCUUAACUCUCAGGGAAUUAGCUAAAUUCUGAGGAACAAUCCUGUCAGCGCGGGAGGAAAGGUGGGAGUUUGCCACUGGGAAACAAUGGAAGCACUUGGGCUAUGCUAGAGGCUUUGACAAAGAAGGUUAAGAAAGGGCUCAUCAUCUCUAGACUUCCUGACCACAUCCAUGGUGACUCAAAGCAGGCAGCAAGUUUGAAUCACAAAAGAGACAACAUGUUAUUUUUAUUUUAAUUUUUAAACUACUGAAAAGCAACUGUAUAAGACUUUCAUAAUUUGUUUUAGUGUAUUUCAUCUUUUUUUAUUUUUAAGCAGAAUGCCAAUUUAUUAACUCACAAUGAGUAAUAAAAUUGCCCACUGGAACAAAUUGCAAGUGUAGGCUGGUCAGUGUAUUAUCUCCCAGCAGAAAAAUCUAUAUGGGAAGCCAGAAUAUAAUUAGAAGGUUAUUUGAUUAAUAUGGAGGCAGAACAAGGGGAUUAGUUAAAUUUAAUGAUUAGCUCAUUAAACCCUGAUACCCCUAUGCUACCAACUCCACAGUGGGGUUGUUCCUGCCAAGGAGAUUAGAAUCAGCUGUUCAUACUUGCUUACCUACUUUUCUUUGUAGCUCAUAGCAUGUGUAAUAUAGUGGUUAAGAAUGAGGAAUUUUGGAGUCAAGCCUCUGCCGCUUAGUAACAUUGCAGUGCAAACAACCGCUAUAUUUCAGUGUCCUCAGUCUGUAAAAUUGGCUUACUAAUAGUACUAUCAUAGGAUUGCUUCAAGGAUUAAAUAAAAUCAUGCAAGUUAAGUCUUCAGCUCAGUAUCUAGAACAUAAUAGGUACUUUUUUUAAACAUCAGCUGUAAAUCAGCCACCUGGGUGGCUCAGUCGAGCGGCUGACUUCGGCUCAGGUCAUGAUCUCAUGGUUCGUGAGUUCGAGCCCCGCGUCGGACUCUGUGCUGACAGCCUGGAGCCUGCUUCGAAUUCUGUGUCUCCCUCACUCUCUGCCCCUCCCCUGCUCACGCUGUACGUGUCUCUCUCUCUCUGAAAAAUAAAAAAAAUAAAUAAACAUCAUCUGUAAAAAAUAACCCUUAAGUGGCUUCUAAUUGCUGUUAGGUUAGAAACUACAAUCCCUAUAUAUCCUGAAUGUGAUUUGGCUGCUCAUCUUAUGCCACUUUCUCUUCCUUUCUGCUUUUUACUUUGGAUUUCUUUUAAUUAGUAACAGUUACAUUCAUUAAUUGAUUAGUUUUGAAACAAGGAGAGACAUUUUCAUUGAUUUUAUAUUUUUCACAUUGUCCCUUACUCCCACAAAUAUUUAUGAGCCCUUCUGGCAGGAAGACCCAGGGACUGGUACUAUGACAUUCCUGGUCCCUGCCCACCCCGGGCUCUAAAUGGGAGGAGAUGCCUGGCUAACUCCUCCUCAUCCUUCCUCCCCAGCUCAGCUACUACUUCCUGGAUGAAGCCUUCCCCUACACUAAUUUCUCACAGGGUCCUGUGUUUCCUACUAAGUGGUAUUUGAAAUUACAGCACUUCUUGCUAUAAUUUGUAAGCUCCAUGACACUGGGAAGGUGGUCUGUUUUGCUCAAGCUUUGUUACUAUCUGACCCACAGAAGGUGAUUAGGAAUGUUUGAGGAGAGGGAACGAGAAGAGCUGGAGAGAGGAAAGGAAACAUUAAAAAAGAAUAAAUAAAGAUAAGGGAUGGCAGAAGGAAAUAGGGAAAUAGGAAAUCCUGGGGCUCAUGUAAAAUCAAUGAAAAGAGCUACAGCUUUAUCUUAGUUGCAAGCAUUAUAAUAAAAUUGAGGGCUCUUUACUAACAGGGAAGUUCUUUGCCAUCCUGCUCUGAGAAGGGAUUUCUGAUUCCAUACAUUAGUGCCCUUAAGGGUAAAAUAAACCUGAGAAGUUAUUGGUUUAUUUCAUAUUUAAUAUUAAUGAGAUUUGUUGAAUGUGAAAUGUUGUAAAGCACAAGAAAAAACCUAAUCACUGGCUAAAGGCUCCAGAUUUCUCAAAGAAUAUUAAUGUGGCAGUAGUCUUUGAAAGAGGCAAGGUUGGGAUUGGAUAAACUAAUGUUUGUGACUCACAUAGCAACUACAACAACUCCAGGUCUUAUCAGUUUCCCAGUGAAGAAGAGAGUUUCAAUAACUAAGAGAAAGCAUUUGCAGUGCAAGGAGUGUUUGGGCAGGAGAAAAGAGGAAAAUGACACUAGGUAUAUCAAAGAGCAAUAGAGGAGGUGUGGAGAUAUUGAGAAGAAAGCUGUGAGGCUAUGAAUCUUAAGAGUACCUUUUAUGUGAUGACAGGCCAAGAAGAAAGAAAUCUAGACCAGAUGUCUCUGUAACUGUUCCAGUCCUAUAGGGCCAAAGCUCAGACAUCUCAGAUGGCCUCAGACACAAGCUAGCUGUAGAGGGAUCUGAAACAAAUACAGCGUGAAUCCCCUCAUUUUUAGGCUUCUUGGAAUUUGCUUUUGUUUCUCGUUUUCUCUCCUAGUUCUUAAUCACAUCUUUGACAAUCCCAAUUAAAGUCGUGAGGGAUGAAGAACGCAUAGGGUAUAAUGAAGACACUAAAAAAGACAAUUAUAUAAUGAUGACAUUAUAUAUAAUUUAUAUCUAAUUGUGGUGGUCACUGUUCUAAUAUCUAUGCCUCAUGACAGUACUAAGGAAGAAGUUACUGUUUCUCUUCCUGUUCUACAAAUGAAGGUGCUAGCACUUAAGUAACCCAGGUCACAUAUCAAAUCAUUAGUGAAGCUGGGACUUGAGCCUAUGUCUAAGCUCUAAAUUUACACUCUUUGUUACAAGUCAAACAAUAAAUACUUCACACUCCCUGAGAUAAUUAAUGGUAAAAUUUAGUUUGUAUCCUUUCAUACCUUUUUCUAUUAACAGGCACACAUGCACACACUGGGGAACUGAAUGAGACCCUCUUGGAACAGCCUCCAGCUGCUUAACGCUCAGAAGAUUAGCCAAAUUCUGAAAAACAAUCCUGUCACUUAUGUGAAAGUAAUGUGAAACAUGGAUUUUUCUCUUAAAAAUUUUCAUGGCCACUUUUCCAGAAACUGUGGAGAUAAAUCAUUCUAUUUUUUUCUUUUUUUUAUUGUAGUAAAAUAAACAUAUUUAUAAUUUUAACCAUUUUUAAAUGUACAGUUUUGUGGCAUUAAGUACAUUCACAUGGUUCUGCAAAUUCAUUUUUCUAAUAACAGUGAAAUAUAGUAUAGUAUGACUGCCAUUCAGUUCAUUCAGCUGUUACCUUUACUGGUUGAUAUUCAAAUUAUUUCUCAUUUUUGCCCUUUGCACAAUGCCGAUGAACCUAACAUAUUUGUACAUAUACUUUUGCGAACCAAUGUUUUUAUUUUUGUGGAAAAGAUGUCCCAAAGUGGAAUUGCUGAGACAAAGGAAAAGUGCAUUUUUACAUAUCAUUAGUUACAGCCAGAUUACUUUCCAAAUGGCUGUCACAACUCACAUUCCUACCAGGAGGGUAUGACAAUAUCAUUUCCCAACUCUCUUGCCAGAGCUGAGUGUUACCAUUUGAAAAAAAAUUUGUCAGUAUGGGACCUCGUCAAGAUAAAAAACUUCUGCACUGCAAAGGAAACAGUCAACAAAACUAAAAGGCAACUGGUGGACUGGGAGAAGAUAUUUGCAAAUGAUGUAUCAGAUAAAGAGUUAGCACAAAUAAAAUCUAUGAAAAAACUUACCAAACUCAACACCCGAAAAACAAACAAUCUGAUAAAGAAAUGGGCAGAAGACAUGAAUAGAUACUUUUCCAAAGAAGACAUCCAGAUGGCCAACAGACACAUGAAAAGAUGCUCAACAUCGCUCAUCAUCAAGGAAAUACAAAUCAAAACCAUAUUGAGAUACCACUUUACACCUGUCAGAGUGGUUAGAAUUAACAACUCAGGAAACAACAGAUGUUGGCGAGGAAUGUAGAGAAACGAAACCCUCUUGCACUGUUGGUAGGAAUGCAAACUGGUGCAGCCACUCUGGAAAACAGUGUAGAGGUUCCUCAAAAAAUUGAAAAUAAAACUACCCUGGGACCCAGCAAUAGCACUACUAGAAAUUUAUCCAAAGGAUACAGGAGAGCUGAUUCAUCGGGGCACAUGUACCCCUAUGUUUAUAGCAGCACUUUCAACAAUAGCCAAAUUAUGGAAGGAGUCCCAAUGUCCGUUAACUGAUGAAUGGAUAAAGAUGUGGUUUAUAUACACGAUGGAAUACUACUCAGCAAUGAGAAAGAAUGAAAUCUUGCCAUUUGCAACAAUGUGGAUGGAACUGGAGGGUGUUAUGAUAAGUGAAAUAUGACAGGCAGAGAAAGAUAUCAUAUGUUUUCCACUCAUAUUGGAAUUUGAGAAACUUAACAGAAGACCAUGGGGGAAGGGAAGGGGAAAACAAUAGUUUCAAACAGAGAGGAAGGCAAACCUUAAGAGACUCUUAGAUACAGAGAACAAACUAAAGGUUGAUUGGGGGGAGGGGCAAGGGAGAGGGGAAAAUGGGGGAUGGGCAUUGAAGAGAGCACUUGUUGAGAUGAGCACUGGGUGUUGUAUGUAAGAAAUGAAUCAUGCUUCUGAAGCCAAGAGCACACUGUACACACUGUGGGUUAGCUAACUUGACAAUAAAUUAUAUUUAAAAAAAUUUUUUGUCAGUAUGACAAAUGAAAAAGGUUAAGAGAAUAUUUUUUAUCCUUGGGAGAAUUUUUUUAAAAAAGAGAAUAUCCAGAAGCCACAAAGGAAAAUACUGAUAAACUUAACUACAUUAAAAUGAAAAAUUACUAUAUAAGUAAAAUCCGGGGUGCCUGGGUGCCUAAGUCGGUUGAGUGUCCAACUUCGGCACAGGUCAUGAUCUCACGGUUUGUGAGUUCGAGCCCUGCGUCAGGCUCUGUGCUGACAGCUCAGAGCCUGGAGCCUGCUUCAGAUUUUGUGUCUCCCUCUCUCUGCUCCUCCCCCACUCACUCUCUCUCUCUCUCUCUCUCUCUCUCUCUCAAAAAUAAAUAAACAUUAAAAAAUUAUAAGUAAAAUCCAAAGACAAACAAUAGGAGAAAACAUUUGCAACACAUAUGACAAAUUGGUUAGUACCAAUUGAUAAGAAAGUGACAAACAGCCCAAUGAAAACUAGGAAAAAGAGUGUAAUUCACCAACGAGGAAAUGCAAAUUGUCCAUAAACGUGAAAAGAUGCUUAACCGCACUGAUCAGUAAAUUAAUUAAUUCAUUUGUAUGGUAAGUUUGGGAACAAGGAGGCACACUCCAUGUGAGGGAAGGGCAGAGGAGGAAUCUAAAUAAUUGGAUGCUCAGUCUUUAGCUCUUCUAUGAGUUUGGCCUCUGGUAAAGCUUUCGUGAUUCUGAUGAUGCUUUCCAGAAUUUCUUAAUGAUGCCAUUCAUGUGGGUAUCUGCUGUCAAAGGCUACAGCUCAUUAAUCAAGAGACUCCUGUAAGAAUUUAUUCUCACCGUUUCUAUUGCUGCUUAGUCCCACCACUUGGCUAUUGUCUACAGUCAUGUCCACUUGAAUCAUCAGUAUCUUUAUUGGGACAGAUUGAAAUUGUUUUUGCUAUUAUGUAGACUUACCACCAGCCAUCCUCAACUUUUAUCUGAAAGCCAAUGCCAUUUCCACAGACAAGCUAUCAUUUGGGGACUUACCUCUUUAGACCUCACCCCAACACUUCAGGAAGGCACAUACUCAUCUUUUGAGACUGGUCCUAGUUUAGACUUGCCCUGAAUUCAGGGCAAAAUCUGCCCCCGGAUGAAUGCCAACUCUGUCCGACUAGUACACCUACUUGCUUUUGCUUCCAGCUUUGUUUGCUUGGUACCUGGGCCUCCCUGACCUCCCUUUUCCUCUCAUUUUCCCCCACUUAAAAAAAAUUUUUUUUUGGCUUAAUGAUUGUGGCUUGACUUCCCACUAACUGAUACCUGAUUUGGCCUCAGGGUCCUUCCACUAUAAACUGCCUCCACAGGCAGCCAAAGGAAGAUCCUGCCCCAUUCCCUGGGCAACUAAGGAUGUUGGAGUAGAAGUAGGAAGGAAUUCUUGUAUCUUUUGUCACCCAACUCUACUCUGUGAGAGGACACAGCUGCCCCUAGGGCGGAGAUUGCUGGUGUGGUGGGGCAACUGGAAGAACUUGGCCCUGUCCUCAAUGGCGUUGCCUUCACAAUUCACAGAGACCUUAUACACUUGCUGGGGUUUUUGCCAUACUUUGAUAACUUUUCAGUCCUCAGGCUCCCCUAGGAAGCCUGAAUAGUUGAUGUUCUUACAAUCGCAUUUAACUAAAAAAGGCAAUCCACAAAGGAGAAAUGUAAAGAGAAUUUGGCUUAACUGUAUUCUGUGAUUAAAGGCCUAGCAGAGGAAAAGCAUACAAACCAGGCCAUGGUGAGGAUCUAUGAGGUUGAGAUAUUCUCAGACACGGGGAAGCAGGGUUCUGGUCUUUGCCCCCAGACGUGGUCUGAGUGAUGUUACCCUUUAUAAACCAUCUCAGAGGGUUCAUGGGAUGAUCUGCCAGAGUGAUCACCCAGUGUGUCCUGCUGGGAUCAUGCUUUCCUUUGUGAAGGUUCCUACAUUGGUACCUUCCUUCCAGGCUUCCAGCUGGGUUGCAGACAUCAACCCAACUGUCAUGGAUUAGCUUGUAUGUAGAUUAGAUCUAGUAGGAUGUGUUUCUGGAGUCCUUUGGCAAAUGCAUCAGCUGGGAUUCAGAGUAAUGGGUAACCUUUCUCGAAUACAUAAUUCAAAGGAAUAGUGUUGUGGUUUCAGCCCUGGCUGCACUUUAGAAUCCGCUGGAGCACUUUAAAUCAAGUGAUGCCUAAACCUGUAGAUUUAUUAAGUCAGAAUCUCUGUGCUUGGGACAAGGCACAGGUAGGUUUUCAAAGCAAAAGGUGAUUCUAAUGGACAACCAGGGUUGAAAACUACUGGGCUAGCCAGUUGUUGAUUGAAUCAAUGGUGAUAACCUUACAUGUUCAAGAGGCCUGCAAGAUCCCUAUUAUAUAUAUGAAGAGAAUGUUAUUCUUCAGGACCGUGGACACCUUUGUGGGAAGCAGUGGAUUCUCAAACUUUAAUGUGCAUACAAAUCACCAGAGGAUCGUUUUAAAUCACGUAUUUUAACAGGAUUCUGCAUUUCUAACAAGCUCCCGGGAGGUGCUGAUCCGGACUAUGCACCACAGUGAGAAGCAAGAAUCUAGACCAGCACUCUGCAAACUGGAAUAGGAUACAUGAAACUUCCAAGCUGGUAUUGAACAUCCUUGUACCUGUCUCCAGCUUCUAUGACAUGAAGAAGCUGUUGACUGCCAAGUAAAGACACAGAGAGAAGAUGCCCAUCUAUGAACCAAGAAGUGGGAUCUCAUCAGACACCUAAUCUCCCAGCACCUUGAUCUUGGACUUCCCAGCCUCCAGAACUGUUGAGAAAUCAAUGUUUGUUGUUCAAGCCCCCCAGUCAGUGGUGUUUUCUUAUAACAGCCCAAAUAGACUAAGACAAAGUUUAUCUUAGGGAGUAUUACCACACUGACUUCCUACAUCCUGAAAACUGAGAGAAUGUGGCCCUAGACAAAGCAAAAACAGAUUUGGGGACAAUGCUCAAAGAAAAUAAAUAAUUUAAAACUGUGGUCUGUCGAGAGGCACCUGGGUGGCUCAGUCAGUUGAGCAUCUGACUCCUGAUUUUGGCUCAGGUCAUGAUCUCACAAUUCAUGGGAUCGAGCUCUGCAUUGAGCUCUGCUCUGGCAGCUUGGAGCCUGCUUGGGGUUCUCUCUCUCCCUCUCUCUGCCCCUCCCCUCUUCUCUCUCAUGCAUGAACCCUCUCUCUCUCUCUCAAAAAUAAAUGAAUAAACAUUAAAAAAAACAUGACUGUAGUCUGUCCAGAUCACUUGCCUCAUCUUUCUCUAAACUGAUUUUUAACAAAGAGCUGCUCUUUUUUCAAAGAUGAGCAAUAGUCAGAAAGACUUAUGCAUAAUUAGUGCAAUUUUCAGUAAACAAGCUGGUAUUUGUAGCCUCUC